UACGGGGGGAGCAAGCGUUGUUCGGAUUUACUGGGCGUAAAGGGCGCGUAGGCGGUCAGCACAAGUCAGUUGUGAAAUCUCCGGGCUUAACUCGGAAAGGUCAACUGAUACUGUGCGACUAGAGUGCGGAAGGGGCAACUGGAAUUCUCGGUGUAGCGGUGAAAUGCGUAGAUAUCGAGAGGAACACCUGCGGCGAAGGCGGGUUGCUGGGCUGACACUGACGCUGACAGCGCGAAAGCUAGGGGAGCGAACGGG
RNAcentral lists this ribosomal RNA (255 nucleotides) under uncultured bacterium. RNAcentral's name for it is "partial 16S ribosomal RNA". It matches the Rfam family "Bacterial small subunit ribosomal RNA", at positions 524 to 776 of the family's 1533-position model. The record is from RNAcentral.